UGUGGUUUAAUUCCAAGCAACGCUAACAACCUUACCACGCCUUGACAUCUAAUGAACUUUCCAUACAUGCGAUUGGAGCCUUCCGGAGCAUUGAGACAGGUGCCGCCUGGCUGCCGUCAGCUCGUGUCGUGAGAUGUUGGGUUAAGACCCGUACCGAGCGCAACCCUUGUCCUUAGUUAUCAUCAUCUCAUGGUGGGCACUCUAACGACACUGCCGGUGACAAACCGGAGGAAGGUGGGGAUCACGUCAUGUCAUCAUGGCCCUUACGGCCUGGGCUACACAC
This 283-nucleotide ribosomal RNA is filed under the name Pseudomonas putida. RNAcentral describes it as "partial 16S ribosomal RNA". It matches the Rfam family "Bacterial small subunit ribosomal RNA", at positions 940 to 1221 of the family's 1533-position model. The record is from RNAcentral. Lineage: Bacteria; Pseudomonadati; Pseudomonadota; Gammaproteobacteria; Pseudomonadales; Pseudomonadaceae.